This 1426-nucleotide ribosomal RNA is filed under the name uncultured organism. Its description in RNAcentral is "SSU rRNA". It matches the Rfam family "Bacterial small subunit ribosomal RNA". The record is from RNAcentral.
ACAUGCAAGUCGAGGGGCAGCAUGCUUUUAGCUUGCUAAGGCCGAUGGCGACCGGCGCACGGGUGAGUAACACGUAUCCAACCUGCCGUCUACUCUUGGACAGCCUUCUGAAAGGAAGAUUAAUACAAGAUGGCAUCAUGAGUCCGCAUGUUCACAUGAUUAAAGGUAUUCCGGUAGACGAUGGGGAUGCGUUCCAUUAGAUAGUAGGCGGGGUAACGGCCCACCUAGUCUUCGAUGGAUAGGGGUUCUGAGAGGAAGGUCCCCCACAUUGGAACUGAGACACGGUCCAAACUCCUACGGGAGGCAGCAGUGAGGAAUAUUGGUCAAUGGGCGAGAGCCUGAACCAGCCAAGUAGCGUGAAGGAUGACUGCCCUAUGGGUUGUAAACUUCUUUUAUAAAGGAAUAAAGUCGGGUAUGCAUACCCGUUUGCAUGUAUUUUAUGAAUAAGGAUCGGCUAACUCCGUGCCAGCAGCCGCGGUAAUACGGAGGAUCCGAGCGUUAUCCGGAUUUAUUGGGUUUAAAGGGAGCGUAGAUGGAUGUUUAAGUCAGUUGUGAAAGUUUGCGGCUCAACCGUAAAAUUGCAGUUGAUACUGGAUAUCUUGAGUGCAGUUGAGGCAGGCGGAAUUCGUGGUGUAGCGGUGAAAUGCUUAGAUAUCACGAAGAACUCCGAUUGCGAAGGCAGCCUGCUAAGCUGCAACUGACAUUGAGGCUCGAAAGUGUGGGUAUCAAACAGGAUUAGAUACCCUGGUAGUCCACACGGUAAACGAUGAAUACUCGCUGUUUGCGAUAUACAGCAAGCGGCCAAGCGAAAGCGUUAAGUAUUCCACCUGGGGAGUACGCCGGCAACGGUGAAACUCAAAGGAAUUGACGGGGGCCCGCACAAGCGGAGGAACAUGUGGUUUAAUUCGAUGAUACGCGAGGAACCUUACCCGGGCUUAAAUUGCAGAUGAAUUACGGUGAAAGCCGUAAGCCGCAAGGCAUCUGUGAAGGUGCUGCAUGGUUGUCGUCAGCUCGUGCCGUGAGGUGUCGGCUUAAGUGCCAUAACGAGCGCAACCCUUGUUGUCAGUUACUAACAGGUUCCGCUGAGGACUCUGACAAGACUGCCAUCGUAAGAUGUGAGGAAGGUGGGGAUGACGUCAAAUCAGCACGGCCCUUACGUCCGGGGCUACACACGUGUUACAAUGGGGGGUACAGAGGGCCGCUACCACGCGAGUGGAUGCCAAUCCCAAAAACCUCUCUCAGUUCGGACUGGAGUCUGCAACCCGACUCCACGAAGCUGGAUUCGCUAGUAAUCGCGCAUCAGCCACGGCGCGGUGAAUACGUUCCCGGGCCUUGUACACACCGCCCGUCAAGCCAUGGGAGCCGGGGGUACCUGAAGUGCGUAACCGAGAGGAGCGCCCUAGGGUAAAACUGGUGACUGGGGCUC